This 386-nucleotide ribosomal RNA is filed under the name uncultured soil bacterium. RNAcentral describes it as "bacterial SSU rRNA". It matches the Rfam family "Bacterial small subunit ribosomal RNA", at positions 26 to 413 of the family's 1533-position model. The record is from RNAcentral.
AGGACGAACGCUGGCGGCGUGCUUAACACAUGCAAGUCGAGCGAGCCCCCUUCUUCGGGAGGGUGUGCUAGCGGCGAACGGGUGAGUAACACGUGGGCAACCUGCCCUCAGCUCUGGGAUAACUCCAAGAAAUUGGGGCUAAUACCGGAUAUGACUGCUGACCGCAUGGUCUGGUGGUGGAAAGAUUUAUCGGCUGGGGAUGGGCCCGCGGCCUAUCAGCUUGUUGGUGGGUAGUGGCCUACCAAGGCGACGACGGGUAGCCGGCCUGAGAGGGUGACCGGCCACACUGGGACUGAGACACGGCCCAGACUCCUACGGGAGGCAGCAGUGGGAAUAUUGCGCAAUGGGCGAAAGCCUGACGCAGCGACGCCGCGGUGGGGAGGUGA